AUGCUGAAAGUAUACAAGUACAGUUGCCUUCCAAGCAAAAGGGCCUUACAGACAGGUCAGCAUA
Molecule: transfer RNA, 64 nt
Filed under: Pseudunio marocanus
Lineage: Eukaryota; Metazoa; Mollusca; Bivalvia; Unionida; Margaritiferidae
Description: tRNA-Gly
Source: RNAcentral